Molecule: transfer RNA, 67 nt
Filed under: Marmota monax (woodchuck)
Lineage: Eukaryota; Metazoa; Chordata; Mammalia; Rodentia; Sciuridae
Description: tRNA.Val
Source: RNAcentral
GGAUUGUGGCUCAGUGGUAGGGCUCUCGCCUAACAAGGGCGGGACCCGAGUUAGAUCCUCAGCACCA